This 506-nucleotide ribosomal RNA is filed under the name uncultured bacterium. Its description in RNAcentral is "partial 16S ribosomal RNA". It matches the Rfam family "Bacterial small subunit ribosomal RNA", at positions 29 to 523 of the family's 1533-position model. The record is from RNAcentral.
AGUGAACGCUGGCGGUAGGCCUAACACAUGCAAGUCGAACGGCAGCACAGGAGAGCUUGCUCUCUGGGUGGCGAGUGGCGGACGGGUGAGGAAUACAUCGGAAUCUACUCUGUCGUGGGGGAUAACGUAGGGAAACUUACGCUAAUACCGCAUACGACCUACGGGUGAAAGCAGGGGACCUUCGGGCCUUGCGCGAUUGAAUGAGCCGAUGUCGGAUUAGCUAGUUGGCGGGGUAAAGGCCCACCAAGGCGACGAUCCGUAGCUGGUCUGAGAGGAUGAUCAGCCACACUGGAACUGAGACACGGUCCGGACUCCUACGGGAGGCAGCAGUGGGGAAUAUUGGACAAUGGGCGCAAGCCUGAUCCAGUCAUACCGCGUGGGUGAAGAAGGCCUUCGGGUUGUAAAGCCCUUUUGUUGGGAAAGAAAUCCAGCUGGCUAAUACCCGGUUGGGAUGACGGUACCCAAAGAAUAAGCACCGGCUAACUUCGUGCCAGCCGCCGCCGUAA